GAUGAACGCUGGCGGCGUGCUUAACACAUGCAAGUCGAACGGGAAUUACUUUAUUGAAGCUUCGGUCGAUUUAAUUUAAUUCUAGUGGCGGACGGGUGAGUAACGCGUGGGUAACCUGCCUUAUACAGGGGGAUAACAGUCAGAAAUGGCUGCUAAUACCGCAUAAGCGCACAGAGCUGCAUGGCUCAGUGUGAAAAACUCCGGUGGUAUAAGAUGGACCCGCGUUGGAUUAGCUGGUUGGUGGGGUAACGGCCCACCAAGGCGACGAUCCAUAGCCGGCCUGAGAGGGUGAACGGCCACAUUGGGACUGAGACACGGCCCAGACUCCUACGGGAGGCAGCAGUGGGGAAUAUUGCACAAUGGGGGAAACCCUGAUGCAGCGACGCCGCGUGAAGGAAGAAGUAUCUCGGUAUGUAAACUUCUAUCAGCAGGGAAGAUAGUGACGGUACCUGACUAAGAAGCC
This 463-nucleotide ribosomal RNA is filed under the name uncultured bacterium. RNAcentral describes it as "bacterial SSU rRNA". It matches the Rfam family "Bacterial small subunit ribosomal RNA", at positions 28 to 492 of the family's 1533-position model. The record is from RNAcentral.